AUGCCUUGCACGCUGCAGCGUUGUGAUUUUUUAUUACUGCAGGUGCUAAAUAAAUCCUCAGUGAUGGAGCCCGGAGCCAAACACAUUUAUCCUUGUCACCUCUCCAAUUCUGUGCAGCUGGAAUGGAGCCCAAGGCUCAGGAGAUGCAAUAAAUCUGCUCUCUGGGCUCCACCCGUUUCUCCACCAAGCAGAUGUGGUCGCCGGGAGCCAAGGCUGGAGGAAUGGACUGAGGCCCUUGUUUAAUAUGGGAGAAUAUUCAAAAGUCACAUAAGACGUGAAACAGUUCUUCUUGUGUGAGAUUCUCCCAAACACUGCGGGACAUCCAGCUUCCUCCUCAUCCCCAGAUGCCAAUGGGCAGGUCAACCAAAGACUACAUCCACCAGUUUCCAAAAAUGCCACCUCUGGAGCACCACAGCUUCUGCUGAUUAUCCCAGGCUUAUGAGACCACAUCCCACAUGUGGGUCACUGCCAUCCAAGACUUCACCGACAAGCAUCCACUUCAUGGACACAGAUUCACACGUCCUUCCCACCAGCUAGUGUUGGGGGCAUAACAUGGGUACUUCUAUUAUCUCCACUGCUAAUAUCUUUACUACCUACAAUACUUCUACACAAUUUUUAUUAAUCAUGACUCACUCACUGAAACCCUCCAUGAAUGGUACUAACAAGGGUAAAUAGGUAACAUUUGUUGAGUGUUCCCUGUAUGUCAGACCCUGGAUGUGUUAGUUUUGCUACUUCAUUCAAGCUUCACAAUAACCCUAUGAGGUGAAUACUAUUGUUAGCCACACUUUAUAGAGGAGAGGUUUGGUAACUGGUCCAAAGUGACCUGACUAAUGAGUGGCAGAAUUAGAAUUUGAACCCUGGCUCUUACUCUAUUUGUUAUACCAUUUCCCCAGAACUGUCUUCUCUGUAUUCAAUGUAAGUAAAAUGGCAAACUUAUACCUAUGGUCAAUUCAUCUUCAAAAAAGGAGGCAAGAAUAUACAAUGCAGAAAAGACAGUCUCUUUGGCAAGUGCUUUUGGGAAAGCUGGACAGCUGCAUGUAAAUCAAUGAAGUUAGAACACACUCUAACACCAUACACAAAAAGAAACUCAAAAUGUCUUAAAGACUUAAAGACACGAUACCAUAAAAUUACCAGAAGAGAACAUAGGCAAAAACAUUAACAUAAAUCAUACCAAUGUUUUCUUAGGUCAGUUUCCCAAAGCAAUAGAAAUAAAAGCAAAAAUAAGAAAGAAAGUGAAGUUGCUCAGUCUUGUCCAAAUCUUUGCAACCCCAUGGACUGUAGCCUACCAGGCCCCUCUGCCCAUGGGAUUUUCUAGGCAAGAGUACUGGAGUGGGUUGCCAUUUCCUUCUCCAGGGAAUCUUCCCGACCAUGAGACCUAAUCAAAUGUAUAAGCUUUUGCACAGCAAAGGAAACCAUAAACGAAAUGAAAAGACAACCUACAGACUGAGAGAAAAUAUUUGCAAAUGAUGCAACCAACAAGGGCUUAAUUCCCAAAAUGUACAAACAGUUCAUAUAACUCAAUAACAAAAUAAACCAAACACUGCGGACAUCCAGCUUCCUCCUCAUCCCCAGAUGCCAAUGGGCAGGUCAACCAAAGACUACAUCCACCAGUUUCCAAAAAUGCCACCUCUGGAGCACCACAGCUUCUGCUGAUUAUCCCAGGCUUAUGAGACCACAUCCCACAUGUGGGUCACUGCCAUCCAAGACUUCACCGACAAGCAUCCACUUCAUGGACACAGAUUCACACGUCCUUCCCACCAGCUAGUGUUGGGGGCAUAACAUGGGUACUUCUAUUAUCUCCACUGCUAAUAUCUUUACUACCUACAAUACUUCUACACAAUUUU
RNAcentral lists this long non-coding RNA (1844 nucleotides) under Bos grunniens (domestic yak). RNAcentral's name for it is "lncRNA (ENSBGRG00000012568.1)". Lineage: Eukaryota; Metazoa; Chordata; Mammalia; Artiodactyla; Bovidae. The record is from RNAcentral.